UACGUAGGGUGCAAGCGUUGCUCGGAAUCAUUGGGCGUAAAGAGCGUGUAGGUGGCUAGAUAAGUCAGAUGUGAAAUCCCUCGGCUCAACCGAGGAAGUGCAUUUGAAACUAUAUAGCUCGAGGAUGGCAGAGGAAGGUGGAAUUCCUAGUGUAGAGGUGAAAUUCGUAGAUAUUAGGAGGAAUACCGGUGGCGAAGGCGGCCUUCUGGACCAUUCCUGACACUGAGACGCGAAAGCGUGGGUAGCAAACAGG
Molecule: ribosomal RNA, 253 nt
Filed under: uncultured bacterium
Lineage: Bacteria
Description: partial 16S ribosomal RNA
Rfam family: Bacterial small subunit ribosomal RNA
Source: RNAcentral